GCAUAGGUGGUUCAGCGGUAGAAGUCUCACCUCCCACGUGGGAGACCUGGGUUUGAUACCUGGCCAACGCA
RNAcentral lists this transfer RNA (71 nucleotides) under Loxodonta africana (African savanna elephant). It matches the Rfam family "tRNA". Rfam says of the family: Transfer RNA (tRNA) molecules are approximately 80 nucleotides in length. Their secondary structure includes four short double-helical elements and three loops (D, anti-codon, and T loops). Lineage: Eukaryota; Metazoa; Chordata; Mammalia; Proboscidea; Elephantidae. The record is from Rfam by way of RNAcentral.